GUAGGGUGCGAGCGUUGUCCGGAAUUAUUGGGCGUAAAGAGCUUGUAGGCGGUUUGUCGCGUCUGCUGUGAAAGCCCGGGGCUUACUCCGGGUCUGCAGUGGGUACGGGCAGGCUAGAGUGUGGUAGGGGAGACUGGAAUUCCUGGUGUAGCGGUGGAAUGCGCAGAUAUCAGGAGGAACACCGAUGGCGAAGGCAGGUCUCUGGGCCAUUACUGACGCUGAGAAGCGAAAGCGUGGGGAGCGAACAGGAUUAGAUACCCUGGUAGUCCACGCCGUAAACGUUGGGCGCUAGGUGUGGGUCCCAUUCCACGGGGUCCGUGCCGCAGCUAACGCAUUAAGCGCCCCGCCUGGGGAGUACGGCCGCAAGGCUAAAACUCAAAGGAAUUGACGGGGGCCCGCACAAGCGGCGGAGCAUGCGGAUUAAUUCGAUGCAACGCGAAGAACCUUACCAGGGCUUGACAUGCACCGGACGACUGCAGAGAUGUGGUUUCCCUUUGUGGCUG
Molecule: ribosomal RNA, 503 nt
Filed under: uncultured bacterium
Lineage: Bacteria
Description: bacterial SSU rRNA
Rfam family: Bacterial small subunit ribosomal RNA
Source: RNAcentral